Rhinopithecus roxellana (golden snub-nosed monkey) is the source of this 727-nucleotide long non-coding RNA. RefSeq lists it as uncharacterized. The transcript is spliced from 2 exons. Lineage: Eukaryota; Metazoa; Chordata; Mammalia; Primates; Cercopithecidae. The record is from RefSeq and is a predicted model, not a curated record.
CACUCUGAUCACAUGUGAGUGUCCACUUUUGGGGUUCCUCAAUUCAGAGCCUGCAAAUGAUCACUGUAAACUGGCUCUGUCUCAGGAAUUCACCCGGGCAGCCUGGAGUCAGCCAUGCCUCUGAGCCCAAGGGUGGAAAUGGGAGAUGGGAGCUGUUAUGUUGGCGUCUUGGGGUCACAGGAGAAAAAAGCGGGACUUUGGUGGAAAGGAGUCACAUGGGAGCGCCAUCUCUGUGCAUGCAUGCAAAUAUGACUCAAUUCAUGUAAAGAUGCACCCUUGCAGCUCCCCAGCCUCCACCUGUCAGGAUGACUCCGGGAAGACAGAUGGAGGACUGCAUUUGUGUUUAGGGUUUAUAGGACCUGUUGUCGCCUCCCCACGCUGAUCCCACACGUGUACAUCAUGCGAGCCACCCCCUGAGUUCUGACCUUUCUCUUGGCCCCUUGUACUCCCCAGGAGAGAAGUUCUCAAUCCCAGCAGUUCUGUGUAGUCAUUCCCAGUGGUACACGUCUGUACCCUGAAGGAACACUGGCCUCCAUUCUGCCUUUUGGGCUGGAGCCUCAGGAACCGCAAGAGAUAGCAAUGUGUUUUAAGUUGCCCAGGCUCAUUGUGAUAAGGAAUUAGGUCACAAAUGGGAAAUAAACCAGAAGCAGCGAAAUUCCUUUCUUAAAGUUCUGUGUUGUCAAAAUUAAAGAAGCUUUCUGUCAUUAAAGAGUGUCGUUACGGUUUA